RNAcentral lists this ribosomal RNA (777 nucleotides) under uncultured Neocallimastigales. Its description in RNAcentral is "partial large subunit ribosomal RNA". It matches the Rfam family "Eukaryotic large subunit ribosomal RNA", at positions 24 to 644 of the family's 3401-position model. The record is from RNAcentral. Lineage: Eukaryota; Fungi; Neocallimastigomycota; Neocallimastigomycetes; Neocallimastigales.
UAUCUCUGUAGAGUCUGCAUAUCAAUAAGCGGAGGAAAAGAAACUAACAAGGAUUCCCUUAGUAACGGCGAGUGAAGCGGGAAGAGCUCAAAUUUGAAAUCUUCAAGGUUCUACCUUGACGAAUUGUAGUUUAAAGAAGUGUUUUCUGUUAGAUGAGUAGCAAAAGUUCCUUGGAAUGGGACAUCAUAGAGGGUGAGAAUCCCGUAUUUGGUUAUUCAUUCUAGCUUUGUGAUACACUUUCAAAGAGUCGGAUUGUUUGGGAAUGCAGUCCAAAAUGGGUGGUAAAUUUCAUCUAAAGCUAAAUAUUGGCGAGAGACCGAUAGCGAACAAGUACCGUGAGGGAAAGAUGAAAAGAACUUUGAAAAGAGAGUUAAACAGUACGUGAAAUUGUCAAAAGGGAAGCGUUUGACACCAGUGUUGUUUUUUCCGAAAAUCAAUUACAAAUGGCUUGAUUUUGUGUUGUAUUGACCUUAAUCAGCUUUCUUCACCUUUUUCGAUGUCUUUCUUAAUGCACUUUUCGGUUAACAAGUCGACAUCAGUUUCUUUUGUUGUAAAAAGGUCAUUGGAAGGUGGCUUUCUUUUCGGAGAAAGUGUUUAUAGCCUUUGACUCCUGCAAUCGGAGAGACUGAGGUCUGCAGCGUAGAUCCUUCUGGAUUAGAUUCAUUUGUGCUAAGUUACAACCGUUUAUAGACAACUUGUUGACUAUAUUCGAUCCUGUAGCUUACUCGCUUAUGUAAUUUUACCUACGCUUAGGAUGUUGACUGAUAUGUAGUCGUA